GUGAAUUUAGUUUAAAAGAAAAAACAAUUGAUUUGCAAUCGACAACUCUAAGUUUAAAUCUUAGAAUUUACA
RNAcentral lists this transfer RNA (72 nucleotides) under Meridiastra gunnii. RNAcentral describes it as "tRNA-Ala". It matches the Rfam family "tRNA". From Rfam's summary of the family: Transfer RNA (tRNA) molecules are approximately 80 nucleotides in length. The record is from RNAcentral. Lineage: Eukaryota; Metazoa; Echinodermata; Asteroidea; Valvatida; Asterinidae.